UGUGAUUGUUGAAGUAUUAGUGAUAAGCAUGCUGCCCGGUUGAGUUAUGUGAUGAACUUGAGGUUUGAUACUUGAGAUUUGGGAUUUUGAGAUUGAAAAUUUUGUGUUUUUGUUGGAUGAAAUUUGGAAUGACAAAUAAGAGUAACAACGAGUAAAAAGCCACAUAUAUGUGAGAAUUGAGCUUAUUAGAGUAGAGCACUCUC
Molecule: long non-coding RNA, 203 nt
Filed under: Salvia miltiorrhiza (redroot sage)
Lineage: Eukaryota; Viridiplantae; Streptophyta; Magnoliopsida; Lamiales; Lamiaceae
Description: long non-coding RNA (SMIL_LNC004103)
Source: RNAcentral